GUCCUAGUAGUAUAAGCAUUACAGUGGUCUUGUAAACCACAAAUGGAAGUUAACUUCCCUAGGACU
RNAcentral lists this transfer RNA (66 nucleotides) under Elephantulus fuscipes (Dusky-footed elephant shrew). RNAcentral's name for it is "tRNA-Thr". It matches the Rfam family "tRNA". From Rfam's summary of the family: Transfer RNA (tRNA) molecules are approximately 80 nucleotides in length. Their secondary structure includes four short double-helical elements and three loops (D, anti-codon, and T loops). Lineage: Eukaryota; Metazoa; Chordata; Mammalia; Macroscelidea; Macroscelididae. The record is from RNAcentral.